GUGGCUGAGACUGACCCCAAGAUUGUGCAGGAUCUCACAUUGAUGGUGGAGAUGUUCCUGCAACAUGUGUGAAAUAAGUUUCAGAACAUGUCUGACCAGAUCAUUGGAAAAAUUGAUGAUAUGAAUACUCUCAUUGAUCUUGAGAAAAACGUCAAAGAUCUCCCUUAUAACACAGACUGAGGUGGAAGAACUGGAAGGUGAAAACAAGAUA
Molecule: long non-coding RNA, 211 nt
Filed under: Homo sapiens (human)
Lineage: Eukaryota; Metazoa; Chordata; Mammalia; Primates; Hominidae
Description: non-protein coding lnc-NREP-6:1
Source: RNAcentral